UCGAGCGGCGGACGGGUGAGUAACACGUGGGAAUCUGCCCAUUAGUGGGGGAUAACUCGGGGAAACUCGAGCUAAUACCGCAUAAUCCCUACGGGGGAAAGCAGGGGAUCUUCGGACCUUGCGCUGAUGGAUGAGCCCGCGUCGGAUUAGCUUGUUGGUGGGGUAAUGGCCCACCAAGGCGACGAUCCGUAACUGGUCUGAGAGGAUGGCCAGUCACACCGGGACUGAGACACGGCCCGGACUCCUACGGGAGGCAGCAGUG
This 262-nucleotide ribosomal RNA is filed under the name uncultured Vexilliferidae. Its description in RNAcentral is "partial Bacterial small subunit ribosomal RNA". It matches the Rfam family "Bacterial small subunit ribosomal RNA", at positions 91 to 356 of the family's 1533-position model. The record is from RNAcentral. Lineage: Eukaryota; Discosea; Flabellinia; Dactylopodida; Vexilliferidae.